Long non-coding RNA from Mytilus californianus (California mussel), 938 nucleotides. RefSeq lists it as uncharacterized. The record is from RefSeq and is a predicted model, not a curated record. NCBI's taxonomy places the organism in Eukaryota, Metazoa, Mollusca, Bivalvia, Mytilida, Mytilidae. The transcript is spliced from 4 exons.
GCAACUUUUAUUUAACAAUUUUCCUUUUUUCCUACCAGUACAAAAGUACAUGCAGCAAUCGACUGGUUCAACAUAUAAAUGUGAUGCAAGUUCAAGACGGUUUAUCCGGUUGAAGGUGGAGAUUAUGCUGGAUAUUAUGACGCUACAACUGUUAAUUGACAAACACAGAUGUGGUCUGGAAACUACUCAACAAAACAAAAAUAUCGACAAAUCAUGAGAGGGAUUCCGGAUAUGGAGAGUGGGCCCAGUUAUUUUCGACUGAAGGGUACGACUGUCGCUCGAGACGUCCGUAUUUUACGGAUGUGUCAAAUACUCAAAUCGUCCGGCUGGAAUGUGAGCGUUGAAUCAAAUGCUUGGUGUUGAAUGAGUGCCAAGCUCUUUCAAUAAUUAAAAGAGGCGGAAGAUACCAAGGAGACAUUCAAAACUUAAAAACCUAAAUAAACUGACAACGUUAUGGCAAGAAUCAAAAGAAAAAAAAAGAAGACCACAAAAAACUACAUGGGAAACUAAAGACUGAGCAACACGAACCCACCAAAAACUGGAGUUGAACUCGAAAUAGUAAGCAGAUACAGCUACACUAGUGGCACGCGACGUGUUUUGUUGCUCAUUUAAGUACAUAAUGAUGUCAAAAUCGAGUAAUAGUACGUGAAUGUUGUUAUGACAAUCGGAACAUAUUCGUGCUCAUCUGUGACACAAAUAUCCUGGAUCGGGCUAUCUAUUUGCAAAGGGAGGACUUCAACUUUAAACAUUUAAACCCUCUGUUCAAUAGCUUGCUUGCGUUGUAGGCAACAACCCUCUUUCAAGGAAAUCGUAAUAGGAAACCCAAACUAUGGAAUAUCGUACCCACUGGAGGAUAUGGGUUUGAUAUUGAAAAAGCAAUAUAACACGAAUAAUGUUCUCUACAUAUGAAAGUUUAAUUAAAAUUUACUUAAGAUCAA